UAUAUUUAAAUGUGCUAACACUUGGUCGUCGGAUGAUUUAUUGUUCCCAAAUAGGCCGUUAAGGAUAAUGUUAAUUUAUCCUCGAGUGCAUACUGGGUACCUGGCCAAGAAUCCAGUACCUAUCUCAACUAUGGGGCUGGUGUAAGUGAGGUACAAAAAGUCUGCUAAAUGUCAAUCGCACUAGCUUACUUCAAUCAUGACUGGAUGUUCUACAUAUGGAUGAUAUUGUGAUACUUCUCUGAUUUCCUUUUAAUUUUUUAUUACUAAAAAUCCAGGUAGAGAUUGAUCUUCUUACAGGAACUAUUACUUCACUACGAAGCGACAUUGUGUAUGACUGUGGAAAGAGUUUGAACCCUGCAGUGGACUUGUGCCAGGUUUGAGAUAUUUUCCACUGAGUUAUGUUCUUCUUUUAUCAUUCUGCAGUGAACAUGGAUAUUAUAUUGCAGCACUGAUCAGAGUUGCUCUUCAUUAUAGUACACGAUGGCAUCAUAUAUUCAUAUCUGAUCUCUACCAUCAUCUUACAGAUUGAAGGCUCCUUUAUACAAGGAAUUGGUUUCUUCAUAAACGAAGAACACGAAACAAACGUUGAUGGACUGGUUGUGAGUGACAGCACAUGGGUCUACAAGAUCCCGAGUGUCGACACCAUCCCGAAGCAGUUCAAUGCCGAGGUGCUCAACACCGGAUUCCACAAGAACCGUGUGCUCUCGUCGAAAGGUAGGAUCAUGAUCUCCUUCCCUAAGGCAACAUGAAUAUAUUUCGCUUGUUUGCCAAAUGAAAAAUAUCAUCAGUUAAGGUAAACAAACCGCUUUUGCCUCUGUCAGCUUGUGGGGAACCUGCCUUGGUCCUCGCAUCAUCAGUCCAUUGCGCGGUGAGAGAAGCCAUCCGAGCAGCAAGGAAGGAGUUUGGAAGCUUGCAGCUCACGUUCCAGCUCAACGUCCCUGCACCGAUGACGCUCGUGAAGGAAAUGUGUGGUUUGGACAUCGUGGAUAAGUACUUUUUUUUUAACAAGAGAAGGCACCAACAGGUGCCAAUUUCAUUCAGCUCAUUGACAGAGUACAUCAAGCAUUACAUAGACCUGCCAAGAAAAUGAAAGAAAGAGAAGCAGAGUCUAAACGCCGAAUUGUAAAUCGUAUACGUGAUGUUUGAAAUGUUUGUGAUGUUCAGUGCUGUGAGUGACACUUCUCUAAUAAUAAUUCCGGGUUGGGAUUUGUGUUUGUAAGUCCUGACUGAACCUAAAGGCGGUGCCUAGUUCCCAUAAUAGCUGCUCGCUUGCCACUUGGAAUGGCUCGCUCGAUCUAACAGUUUCCCUUUGGCUCCCCUUCCCCUCCCUAGCAGCUCCCGCGCGCCGACGCCAGGUUGCGCCGCCGGGCAAAGGAAGAACACUGAAGUUGAAAUCAGUAAAGAAGUAAAAUGUCAAGUCUCAAAAAAAAGUAAACAAGUAAAGAGUACCCAAAAGUACAAACUGUAACUAAUAAGAAUUAUCACGGCCAUUCAAGACAAAGGAAGAACAGAAAAGAACGAAGAGAAGACAAGAAAAAGAACAGUUCAAAUUUCGAAAUGUUAAAGGUCAUUUUCAUUCAGAAGUAUCUCCGUUGGGCAGGAGGAGCAGAGUUGGCCUAUUUAUAGAAGGUACUCCCUCCGUUCCACAAUAUAAGAUCAUUUUUCAAGCUAUGUUAGCUUGAAAAACGGUUUUAUAUUGUGGGGCUGAGGGUAGUAAUGGUACUUUUGCAACAUGAGAUCAUAAGAGGUACAUGCUGGCGUAUGACAAUAUGGUUGUUUUCCACGUAUUGGCUUCUAAAAGCAUUAAAAAGGCCAGUUAGCAGCUGCUGUGCCGUGCCAAAACAGUAGAAAAAAUAUUGAUAAUGCCGACUUGAAUGUACAUCGCUCCCAAAUGAACCAGUAAAAAUUUAAUGGUCUAGUAAAGGAGGACAUGCACAUACAGCCAGGAAAAGAGGGCAUGUUUGGAACACAGAAACGGGAAACGUUUGCUACAGAUCAUGUUUCACACAUUUAACCGCAUGAAAAGGGCGUGAAAACAUUCAACCACUACCAGUACUAGGACCAUGGACCACCAGAGUGAGACGAGCUUGAGCAAAGGCCCGAAUGCACCGAACUGGCACCCUCCAUGGACCACAAAAUCGUGAGAAGGUGAGAAGGCAAACUGAACACCACAUGAAGUGAUCUGUGUGUAGCUGUUUUUAAUGAGAUGGGCCAAUGCCAAACCACGGCAACUUAUAUCACACUAAACAUAAAAAGGCAACAGGAAUAAAUCAUCAAGGAGCCAUCAAUAUUUAGUGAGAAAGAAAAGAUCCCAAAGGAGGGGAGAGCGCAUUGUCUAUACCCUCGGCUCCUUGAAUAAUCGGAGACAGGUUUAUGUCAGUUGAUCACCAUCGCACAAGCUAGCCAGCCAGCCAGAUAGAUGGAUGCACAGGGUAACGGUUCCCACCACAAAACGCCAGCACCCUUCCUAAUUGUUGGGGCUUGGAGUGGCAAGCGUCGAUGGUUAAAGUUAACAAGGACAACAAUAUCAAAUGUCAAUACAAGAAAAAUUGAUAAUGGAUACGAAAAUAGGAACAAAAAGAUUAACAAUAGCAACAAUAAGAACUGCUUUUAAAUUGGUUCAAUGAAAAGAUUUCACGCCAUCUUACCUUCUGAGAAGGUCCACAAAAAGAACCAGAGCCAUAGGUAACGCCAGGUUCACUUUUCAAGCUACAGGCCCACAAUGUACAGAAGAGUACAUACGACUUAAUUUUUGACAUGAGAAAAACACACAAAAGCUGUUCAGGAAAAUGAAAAUCAAGCUGUUUUUUGGAAUACUCACUGAUCCAAUUACUAUAAUAAUCAGACAAAAGAAGUAUAAAACACAGGUAUCAUAACAAACACAUGGCGCACAAGGAAUAGUUCACAAAAUCAAGGAAAAUUUUGGUGUAUUGCUUGAAUGGCUCAGAUUUACCCCACCAUGAAUCACCGAAGUUGGAAAAUGCUUCAGAUAGUACAACACAACAAAGCCUUUCAGUCCCAAACAACUUGGGAUAGGCUAGAGCUGAAACCCAUAAGAUAUUGAAACCUACUCAUUGUUCUGGCAUAUAGAGAAGGGGGACAAUGGCUAACAUAACGAAUGCAGGGACAAUGGCAUACAGAUCCCAGGUGACCCAAGCAAAAGCUCCAAGAGCACCUUCAAUCAUGAUUAGACAAAAUAUAAGACCUUUUUAAACAAACGAAUGCAGUUGACUGGACACUCAUUUUAAACAACCUGCGAGGAAUCAGUUCCUCGGUAAUGAAUCAAAAUGUGGCAAGUUGGCAGCAGCAGCUUAAAAAGAGACUAAUGACCAGCAAAAUAAAUGCUGCUCUGACCAAAAUAAAACUAACGCAGUAUGAGCUUCAGUUCUAAGAAAACACAGAUAUUGCUGAUCAUAACUUUGUCUUUGAAAAAGCAUCUGGCAGGACAAGACAAGCAAAACAACAGCUUCUCGUUAACCACAUGAACAGAACUGCCAAUAGCUAAAAACAUUGGCGAAAAAAGGACAAUCAUGUGAUACACACUCCCUCCGUUCCAUAAUAUAAGAGCGUUUUUUACACUAUAUGUAUUCCCUCCAUGUAUUCAAUGAGAGCUCAGGCAGAGGGAUUCAGAAUUAAGGCAGCAGAUUAGGGUGUAAUUGCAUGCAUACCGAUUCAAGCCAAAAAGUGGAACUGUAUCAUGAAAAAUCCAUCGCGGCAGCUCAGAUCUCAGGCCUCCUUUGGUUCAUAGGAUAGGAAUAUCAUAGGAAUAGGAGCCAUAUGAGUUUUCCCCUAGGAAUCCUAUCCUAUAUAGUUCCUACAAAAUUCCUGUAAACCAAAGGAGGCCUCACCGUGGACACCCGACUUCCCAGGCAUGAGAGGCCACACAGGGUCCCAAUCUUCCACGAUGCCCAACCCAAAACCGCCAGCCCCUGCUGUUUCAGCUGCGGCAACUGCCCGAGGAGGGCCUCCAAGCCAAUGCAUUAGUGCAGUGGGCCUGAACAGGAGGGGUGGCCCCAUGAACCGAAGCUCCAAGGCCACCACCAGGGCUAGGGAUGAUGGCUGGGAAGUUUUAUAAGGACAAUGAUGGCAAGCAUCGAUAAUGGUAGUUAAGGAGGACUAUUAUACCAAUAUCAACACAAGGAAAAGUAAUAAUUGGAUGGUACAAGAGGGGGUGGGGGUGUUAACAGUAGCAUUAAAAAACUGCUUUAAAUUGGUUCAAAAUAAAAAGAUUUCACAUCCUCUCACCUUCCCAGAAGGCCAGAAGGUCCACAGACAGAAAGAACCAGAGCCAUAGAUAGGCAGGUUCACUUUGCAAGCUACAGGCCCAGAGUGUAGAGUAUAAACGACUUAAUUUUCACCAUGGGAUCAUGACCAUUAACGAUUGCCAAUAAGAUAUACUUUUAAAAAGGCUGUUCAGGAAACCAAGCUGUUUUCUGGAGUAUAUUUCAGAAGUACCCAAUGCUAAAAUUACUAUACUCAGGCAGAAGUACAAGUGUGAAGUGUCAGACUCACGUACCAUAACAAAUACAUGAGGAAUCCUCUACUUUUAAAUAGCUACAACCCACUAGCUAAUUUUUAAUAACAUGCAGCCACGCCACAUCAGCACGUAUGGAUGUCAAUCACAAAUGAUAAGUUACAUUUAUUUACAUCCAAUCCACGAUCUAGUUUUUCUAAGCAUGCAACCAUGCCACCUAAGGACCUAUGCAUGUCAAUUAUAAGUUGCAAAAUGCAAUCGUGCCACAUUAGCCAGCCAUACAUGUUGAUGGCGUUGAUAAGUUAUAUUUUUUGAAUUGUACAUGUCGACGUCGUUGAUAGGUUACAUUUUUUUAAUUGACUUUUAUAUUGUCAUAUACAGCAUACAUGGUGGAUACUUGAAGCCUAUCUACGUAGUUCAUGAUUUGCACUCUUUAUAGAAAUAAAAUGGCAUGUUGUUAACUACAAUGUAAGUCGAGAAUACUAUUAUUAUCUUGAAUGAAUGGCUCAGAUUUACCUGACCAUGAAUCACCUUAGUUGGACAAUGCUUCAGGUAGUAACAUAAGGAAUAAAACCUCUCUCCACUCAGCAACAAAUAGCCACAACUGGUAACUUGCUGUAGAGCAAGGCCUCCUAGUUUAAUGACUAACUGUCUAACUGGGCAAAGUUGAAUGGAACCAACCUAGAGACGUGAAAGUGUCUCUAUCUCAGGAUAUGUUGAAAGACACCAAGGGGCGGAAAUCAUCAUAGCCAUUCAGAAAAAGAAUAAUUAUCAACAACACACAACAUAAACAAAUAUGCUGUGUUCAAAAGUUAAUAUGGAAUAGUGCACUGAUGGCCGUAUUACUGGCAAUGAAAGAAGCAAUUGCCAUUUGUUCACUUCAGAUAAAACGAGUCACUCCAAGCCAAAAUAAAAAUAGGAGAACAUGAACUUUCUUUUUUGAACCAGAAGAAAGCCAUCAACAGGGUUAGUGCUGCAGAUUACAUUGAACAUAAUGUAAACGAGAAAUAGAAUUGUAGAUUCGGAAUUAAAAAAUAUAAUUAAUAAAUUAAUAGAUCAAAUGUAAUUAUUACAAUUGCUGAUGCUUGUGGUGCCGCAGUGCAGCAAAUACGUGAAUGUAAGACCUUCCACAAAAUAAAAUGCGGUUACGACUAAAUGGGAAUGCUGAGACAAGAAACAGAACAUGCAUAACAAAGGACAUACAGUUGCAAAUAAUAGCAUAGUUUGAUGAAAAGAUGUGAAAUCCUCUUCCUCUUUCUAGGCCCUUCACAACACAAUUUUUUUAUUUAUUCAAACAAAGUAGUCCUUAAUUCCAUGUAAUCUCUCUCCACACUGUUAAGUGGAUUUUUAAUUCCAAUGUUUAAUGGUAAUUGUUAGCCGCUAAACCGGUUACUUGUUGUGACACAAGGACUCCUAGUUUAGAACCAACUGAAUCAAUUCAGGUGUUAGAUAGAAGCACUAACAGGGAAGCAAUAUCAUCACAGCCAUUCAUGAACAUGACAUGAAGGAAACAAUAAUCUUGACAUCUGAACUUGCCCUAUAUGACCCUUAAGAUGAAAACCAGUAAAUAAAUGAGGAGUGCCCAAAAGUACAAACUGAUAACUAGAUAAAGAGAACAGUAGCAAAAUGAAAUUAUCGAAAGUCAAAUGGCAAUUGAAACAACCAAACUGAUACAGUACCAAAUAAGAUAAUUUCAAAAAAUACCCAAGGCAGCAUUAUUAUCACAGCCAUUCAAGGAAAAAUAAUAACAGAAAAUAAAAAGCCCGGAUGCACCAAACUGGUUCCCUCAAUGGACAACAAAGAUGCACCAAACUAGAUAAAGAGAAUACUAGCAAAAUGAAAUUAUCGAAAGUCAAAUGGCAAUUGAAACAACCAAACUGAUACAGUACCAAAUAAGAUAAUUUCAAAAAAUACCCAAGGGCAGCAUUAUUAUCACAGCCAUUCAAGGAAAAAUAAUAACAGAAAAUAAAAAGCCCGGAUGCACCAAGCUGGUUCCCUCAAUGGACAACAAAAUCAUGGGAAGGCAAACCGAACACCACGAGAGGUGAUUUGUGCGUAGUUGCUCCUAAUGAGAUGGCCCAAUGCCACAACCACGACAAUUCAUCAAUUUAAAACAUAAAAAGGCAAUAGGGAUAAUAGAUGUGUAGAGGGCACAGUAUUAGUUGCAUUGAGAUUUGAGAGGGCUCAGAUUCGCCUUUGAUAUAUCAUACAACCUAGCUCCAUCUUCUUUCACCAGAUCAACCCCCACCACAGAGGUCGAGCUCCUCUGGUUAUCACUCAGCAGAAUGACCAUCCAAGAGAGAGCCGGUCAAUAUUCGGUGAGAAUGAUAAGGUGCCAAAAGAGGGGAGAGUAGGUUUUUGAAGCCCACAGCUCCUCGAAUAAUCGAAGACAAGUUUAUGUCAGACAUGUUUUAUCAUCAUCGCCCCAAAUAGAUAGAUAGAUAGAUGGAUCGAUGGAUGGAUGGAUAGAAGGGGUUAGAUUGUGCUAAAGUUUCCGACAUGGUUCAUUUUGUGUUGAACCUUUCCAAAAAGGUCAAAACAGUGACUUCAACGGCAUCAUGACCAUAGUAUCCAUACAUACAUGCAUUCCAGAAGUUGGCUCUAUUAUUAACCAUGCUCUCAGGAGCUGCUCAUGCCUGGCAUCAACCAACCAAACCUCGGGCUCGGACGCUGCAUCAGACAACACUGUAUGGUUCCCAGCCCACGCCACAACCGAAUCCAAGGCAAUGGAACGGUGGUGGCUGGCGGCACCAUAGUGUCAGUCCACCCAGACCAUGGGUCAGCGAGUAGGCAAUGACAGCUUGACUGAUUUGUUGUAGGAUAUAUAUACUAAUAUACAUAUAUAGACAUAGAGAGAGAGAGAGAGAGAGAGAGAGAGAGAGAGGAGGAUCCAUACCGAAUCCAAAACAAAAUGCAACUGAACAGUGAAAAUUCAGUGUAUGUAGCGUAGCAAAAGAGGGCUCAGCUUUGUCAUUCAUCUUCAAACCCAACACCCACAUCUCUUGCUCAUAACCUACCCAUCGCAGUGUAAGCUGGUUAUCACUCAUCAGAACGACCGUCCAAGGCACAGAUCAUCCAACAUCGGCGACAAAUUGAGCAGGCUGCAACAGAGGCAAGGGUGGGCUCUAAGGGGAACUCCAACGCUGACACCGACUUUCUCAGCUCUGUUUAGUCCCACAAGCUAAGGCUGUCUUGAUUGCUCAAGACAUGAUUAUUUCAGCCAGAGUCAUCAUCAUCGUCGUCCUCGUCAUCGCCCCUCUUUUUGGUCCAAAAAGGAGAUUGCCUCUGCACACCAAGCAAUGACCAUGAAACCCAUUACAUGCGUGCACACAUCCAGCCAUCAAGCUCAGGAGCUGCUCAUACCUGGAGUCGACCGACCAAACCUCCCGGCGCGGAUGACGCGUCAGACAAACACCGUACGGUUCCCAGCCCACGCCACACCCGAAUCCAAGGCAAUGGAACGGCGGUGGCUGGCAGCACCACCGCGGUGCGGAACUGACGUGGCGGCCAACGGGACGAUUGGCCAGCGAUCCGGCAACGAGAGCUCGCCUGAUUCGGCUUAGGGUUUGGGGUCACGGGUGUGAACUGCGCGCACGCGCGCGCACACAGAGUGAGCGAGUGAGUGUGGGGUCAGUCUCGGAGAGAGAUGGGGAUCGUACAGGAUCCAAAGCAACAGGCAGCCAAGCUGCGAGAAAUCCAUCGGCGGCGGCUCAGAUCCCGCGCCGGGCCGACCAAUCCCUCGACCGGAACGCAUCACGAGCCCCGUCGCUCGGUCCCCGCUCCCCAUCCCGCGCGGACGCGG
This 8276-nucleotide long non-coding RNA is filed under the name Triticum aestivum (bread wheat). Its description in RNAcentral is "long non-coding RNA (TAES_LNC018520)". Lineage: Eukaryota; Viridiplantae; Streptophyta; Magnoliopsida; Poales; Poaceae. The record is from RNAcentral.